CCUGAUAUCUCCACCGCCCACGGCCUCGCCUUGUCCCAACUACAAAAGCGAACCCAAUCCCUCUUGACUCCUCUCAUCCGCCUCGUCUAACCACCACCACGAGGGAGAGUUAAAGUCGCCAGUACAGAAGAGUGAAGGGGAGAGGGUUGCUGGGUCCGAUUCGGUGGGCUCAUCGCCGUCGGGUCCACGAAUUGGUGCCUAGGAGUCUCGCGUGCUUCGGGGACAUAAUCGAUGGUCUCGCUGCGGUGGGUUGGUGGCUGGAGACCUCAGAAUUCGUCGUCAUAGUGCGAGCUCCUCCGCGUGUGCACCGUGCGCCGUGGCCAGGGGUGUCUGCGCUGCAAUUGCCAGGCAUACAAGAUGACGAUGGUAUGAAGACUAUCUCAUUUCCAAAAAGCUUUGUGCAGAGCAACUAGUGCAAUGCAAGUGUUUGGUGCUUUUGGUUGAUAGAAGCUGCUGGAUGCUUUUGGUAUUUUUGAAAGAUGCAAGUCGUGCUUCUGGUUGAUACUUAGAAGUUGGUGGUUCAAAACUGAAAAACCUGUCAGGCUGUCACUUGCUUUUGGUUUCUUGUCAAACUGCUGGGCGCCUGAACACUGCUGUGCACCGUACGUCAGGCUGUCCUCAUGCAUCUGUUAACAGAUCUUUUGUCCUCUGCUGCUUAGACUGCUUUAUGAAAUUUGAAAUGUGAUGAGACUUAUGCCUUAUGGUGACUGGUGAUAGCUUAUUAGAUUAGAGUAUCAUACUUUUGGUCAUGGUCUUAUGGAAUAUGGAAUGUGAUGGGAUCAUUGGACCGCAUGGUAUGGGUCAUGGAUGUGUAAAUAAAUUAUAAUUUCAUUAUUUCAUCUCUCGUCUAUUAAGUAUUAACAGUUUAUUA
Molecule: long non-coding RNA, 871 nt
Filed under: Zea mays
Lineage: Eukaryota; Viridiplantae; Streptophyta; Magnoliopsida; Poales; Poaceae
Description: drought responsive lncRNA
Source: RNAcentral